This 574-nucleotide long non-coding RNA is filed under the name Hordeum vulgare. RNAcentral's name for it is "long non-coding RNA (HVUL_LNC002117)". Lineage: Eukaryota; Viridiplantae; Streptophyta; Magnoliopsida; Poales; Poaceae. The record is from RNAcentral.
GAAAUAUUUAGAAAAGAAGUCUUGAGUGUGACACAUACAAAAAAUAACAAGUGGUAGAAAAUAUAUAUGGAUAUAAAAUCCUUUCUAGUUCAGAGUCUAAGAUAGUUUUAGAAGUUAUUCUUCGCAUAUUUGAUGUGCUGAACUGCACUUAACUUUGGAAUCGUAAAACUUUUCUGGUAGUGCCGUGUCAAGUAAAUUAUCUGAUACAAAAUUAAUAACAACAUACAUUUAGUUACAUCCUCAGAAGUCACUCUUCUUAUCUUUCAUUGUGAAAAUAACUUCUUUUGGACUCUUUUCUCUAAAGAAGAACUUAUUGGAAUCAUUGAUCUUUUUCCGGUUGGGCAUCAUUCAUGACCUUCACCAAGUUGGAUGAUGGUGAUAAAAAAGGAAUAUGCUAUAGCUUACUAGAUUUCCAAAUUGCCAUUUCCCAAUCGACAUUGACAGUCGUCUGAUCAAGAUUUUCUUAUUCUUGUACAGGCAAGAAUACUUUCUUUUUGAAAAAAAAUGUAAAGAUAGCUAGGCAGCUGGCUAUUGCAAACGGUAUUUAUUCUGUACAGUGGUAAGAGAAAGUAAA